RNAcentral lists this ribosomal RNA (690 nucleotides) under Acinetobacter calcoaceticus. RNAcentral describes it as "bacterial SSU rRNA". It matches the Rfam family "Bacterial small subunit ribosomal RNA", at positions 378 to 1055 of the family's 1533-position model. Lineage: Bacteria; Pseudomonadati; Pseudomonadota; Gammaproteobacteria; Moraxellales; Moraxellaceae. The record is from RNAcentral.
GCAGCCUGAUCCAGCCUGCCGCGUGUGUGAAGAAGGCCUUAUGGUUGUAAAGCACUUUAAGCGAGGAGGAGGCUACUUUAGWUAAUACCUAGAGAUAGUGGACGUUACUCGCAGAAUAAGCACCGGCUAACUCUGUGCCAGCAGCCGCGGUAAUACAGAGGGUGCAAGCGUUAAUCGGAUUUACUGGGCGUAAAGCGCGCGUAGGCCGGCUAAUUAAGUCAAAUGUGAAAUCCCCGAGCUUAACUUGGGAAUUGCAUUCGAUACUGGUUAGCUAGAGUGUGGGAGAGGAUGGUAGAAUUCCAGGUGUAGCCGGUGAAAUGCCGUAGAGAUCUGGAGGAAUACCGAUGGCGAAGGCAGCCAUCUGGCCUAACACUGACGCUGAGGUGCGAAAGCAUGGGGAGCAAACAGGAUUAGAUACCCUGGUAGUCCAUGCCGUAAACGAUGUCUACUAGCCGUUGGGGCCUUUGAGGCUUUAGUGGCGCAGCUAACGCGAUAAGUAGACCGCCUGGGGAGUACGGUCGCAAGACUAAAACUCAAAUGAAUUGACGGGGGCCCGCACAAGCGGUGGAGCAUGUGGUUUAAUUCGAUGCAACGCGAAGAACCUUACCUGGCCUUGACAUAGUAAGAACUUUCCAGAGAUGGAUUUGGUGCCUUCGGGAACUUUACAUACAGGUGCUGCAUGGCUGUCGU